This 504-nucleotide ribosomal RNA is filed under the name uncultured bacterium. RNAcentral describes it as "partial 16S ribosomal RNA". It matches the Rfam family "Bacterial small subunit ribosomal RNA", at positions 30 to 523 of the family's 1533-position model. The record is from RNAcentral.
AUUGAACGCUGGCGGCAGGCCUAACACAUGCAAGUCGGGCGGUAACACAGGGAGCUUGCUCCUGGGUGACGAGCGGCGGACGGGUGAGUAAUGUCUGGGAAACUGCCUGAUGGAGGGGGAUAACUACUGGAAACGGUAGCUAAUACCGCAUAACGUCGCAAGACCAACGAGGGGGACCUUGGGGCCUCUGGCCAUCAGAUGUGCCCAGAUGGGAUUAGCUAGUAGGUGGGGUAAUGGCUCACCUAGGCGACGAUCCCUAGCUGGUCUGAGAGGAUGACCAGCCACACUGGAACUGAGACACGGUCCAGACUCCUACGGGAGGCAGCAGUGGGGAAUAUUGCACAAUGGGCGCAAGCCUGAUGCAGCCAUGCCGCGUGUGUGAAGAAGGCCUUCGGGUUGUAAAGCACUUUCAGCGAGGAGGAAGGCGGUGAGGUUAAUAACCUCAUCGAUUGACGUUACUCGCAGAAGAAGCACCGGCUAACUCCGUGCCAGCCGCCGCUGUAA